AGUGAACGCUGGCGGUAGGCCUAACACAUGCAAGUCGAACGACAGCACAGUAAGAGCUUGCUCUUACGGGUGGCGAGUGGCGGACCGGUGCGGUAUACAUCGGAAUCUUCUUUUUCGUGGGGGCUAACGCAGGGAAAUUUACGCUAAUACCGCAUACGACGUACUGGUGUAAGCAGGCGAUCUUUGAACCAUGUGGUAGUGAAAAAGCCGAUGUCGGAUUAGCUAGUUGGCGGGGCAAAGGCCCACCAAGGCUACGAUCCGAAGCGGGUCUGAGAGGAUGGUCACACACACUGGAACAGAGAAACGGUCCCGACUCCGACGGUAGGCAGCAGUGGGGAAUAUUGGACGAUGGGGGAGAGCGUGAUCCAGCAAUACCGCGUAGAUGAAGAAGGCCUUCGGGUUGGAAAGCCCUUUUGUUGGGAGGGAAAAGCAGCAGGUUAAUACCCCGCUGUACUGACGGUACCCAAAGAAUAAGCACCGGCUAACUUCGUG
RNAcentral lists this ribosomal RNA (492 nucleotides) under uncultured bacterium. Its description in RNAcentral is "partial 16S ribosomal RNA". It matches the Rfam family "Bacterial small subunit ribosomal RNA", at positions 29 to 507 of the family's 1533-position model. The record is from RNAcentral.